RNAcentral lists this ribosomal RNA (622 nucleotides) under bacterium C-68. RNAcentral's name for it is "bacterial SSU rRNA". It matches the Rfam family "Bacterial small subunit ribosomal RNA", at positions 778 to 1399 of the family's 1533-position model. RNAcentral also lists the same sequence under 2 other names. The record is from RNAcentral.
UUAGAUACCCUGGUAGUCCACGCCGUAAACGAUGUCUACUAGUCGUUGGGUCCCUUGAGGACUUAGUGACGCAGCUAACGCAAUAAGUAGACCGCCUGGGGAGUACGGCCGCAAGGUUAAAACUCAAAUGAAUUGACGGGGGCCCGCACAAGCGGUGGAGCAUGUGGUUUAAUUCGAUGCAACGCGAAGAACCUUACCUGGUCUUGACAUAUCUAGAAUCCUGCAGAGAUGCGGGAGUGCCUUCGGGAAUUAGAAUACAGGUGCUGCAUGGCUGUCGUCAGCUCGUGUCGUGAGAUGUUGGGUUAAGUCCCGCAACGAGCGCAACCCUUGUCCUUAGUUACCAGCGGGUUAAGCCGGGAACUCUAAGGAUACUGCCAGUGACAAACUGGAGGAAGGCGGGGACGACGUCAAGUCAUCAUGGCCCUUACGACCAGGGCUACACACGUGCUACAAUGGUAGGUACAGAGGGCAGCUACACAGCGAUGUGAUGCGAAUCUCAAAAAGCCUAUCGUAGUCCAGAUUGGAGUCUGCAACUCGACUCCAUGAAGUAGGAAUCGCUAGUAAUCGCGGAUCAGAAUGCCGCGGUGAAUACGUUCCCGGGCCUUGUACACACCGCCCGUCA